AGCAACCCCUCCCACCAUAUCAUCUUUUUACUUUUUAGAAAGUGGCUUUCUCACUCUUCAUCUGCGUUCUUGCCAUUCUCCUUCCCAUAUUGCCCAUGUCUUUGUAAAUGAAUAUGCUCCAUUUCUCUGUAAAUGAGGUACUAACCAUUCUCUUUGCAGUGAAUUGAGUAGAUGAGAACAAAAUUUGGUAUCAUUAACAAUAGUGAUGCAUUUUGGAAAAUCAAAAUGUGGUUUUUGAAUUAGUGUUGAAAGCCAAAUCAUAGAAGAUGUGGAAGAUGCUUUCACAACGAAUAAUGGAUUUGCUAUGCGAUAGGUUCUCUCUCUACAAGCCCAUGAUUUAAUGGCUACAGGGCUCUUCUUGCCUAUUUUCUGUUUUCAGGAUCUCUCUCUCAUUGCCCUGGGGUUUAAAAGGUAGUUUCUCUCUCAUAUAAUUUUUGAGGAUUUUAUUUCGAAUUAUUUGUUCUGUAAACCAAUCUUUGGCUCUAGUUAGCUAUUUUUCUUCUUCUAAUUUUUUUCUAAAGUGUUUUCCUUUUCUUUUUAUAUGUUGGCUAUAGAAACUCUGUGAAAGUUUAGUAAUUUCCUGCUUGGGUUUCUUUCUAAAGCGUUUUUCUUUUCUUCAGAUUACUUUGGCAAUCCCUUAAGGGAAAGAUUUCUACACUUCUUCUAUAAUAUAGAAGAUCUAUGCUUUCCCUACCAUCCAGCCAUCCAAUUUUGAUCAAGAGAGUUACUUACCAUUUGAUCUUAGAUCCGACGUUUUAAAGUAUUUUAUUUUUAGUUUUUUUAAUCAAAUUGCAUGAAUAUGAAAUUUGGUAUGUUCCAUCUUCUCAUAGGGAUGCAUCUAUAAAAAAUAUUAAAAAUAAAUUUUUGAUAAAAUAUAAUGACCAAAAUACCCCUUGAAAUUUUCAGGGGUAUUUUGGUCAUUUUAUUUUAUUGAAAAUAUUUUUUUUAUAUUUUUUGCUAAUGUGAGUUUAUUAGAGGAUUAGACGUCCAAAAUUUGAUGUCAAAAUAUUUUAUAGAAAAAAAAAUUAAAAGGAAAAUAGUAUAAAGACGUGACAUUAUGUUGGGGCAAUCAUAGCUCUCCAUUCAGAAUGGACGGUUGGAUAAGAAGAAGUAUAUAAGUUUUGUGCUGCAGGAGAAGCAUAGAAAGCUUGCCCAUCACUUAAAUAUUGGUAGAAACUGCAGUUUGUGGCAGUAAUGGCUCGCUCAGUUGCAUUCAUUGCACGACUCAAAACUUCAAACCAAUGUAUAAGUGAGAGACUGAGUAGCCUAAGCAUGAUUAGCUAAAGAUGAGUUCAUGAGUUACAAGAAAGAAAGGGUGAGUUGGAUUCUUUUCACCAACCUCAAAGAUGGCUUCAAUGGAGGUUAUCUGUGUAC
This 1374-nucleotide long non-coding RNA is filed under the name Amborella trichopoda. RNAcentral's name for it is "long non-coding RNA (ATRI_LNC002900)". The record is from RNAcentral. Lineage: Eukaryota; Viridiplantae; Streptophyta; Magnoliopsida; Amborellales; Amborellaceae.